This 522-nucleotide ribosomal RNA is filed under the name uncultured bacterium. RNAcentral describes it as "bacterial SSU rRNA". It matches the Rfam family "Bacterial small subunit ribosomal RNA", at positions 10 to 523 of the family's 1533-position model. The record is from RNAcentral.
AGUUUGAUCCUGGCUCAGAUUGAACGCUGGCGGCAGGCCUAACACAUGCAAGUCGAACGGUAGCACAGAGAGCUUGCUCUUGGGUGACGAGUGGCGGACGGGUGAGUAAUGUCUGGGAAACUGCCCGAUGGAGGGGGAUAACUACUGGAAACGGUAGCUAAUACCGCAUAACGUCUUCGGACCAAAGUGGGGGACCUUCGGGCCUCACACCAUCGGAUGUGCCCAGAUGGGAUUAGCUAGUAGGUGGGGUAACGGCUCACCUAGGCGACGAUCCCUAGCUGGUCUGAGAGGAUGACCAGCCACACUGGAACUGAGACACGGUCCAGACUCCUACGGGAGGCAGCAGUGGGGAAUAUUGCACAAUGGGCGCAAGCCUGAUGCAGCCAUGCCGCGUGUAUGAAGAAGGCCUUCGGGUUGUAAAGUACUUUCAGUGANGAGGAAGGGUGUGAAAUUAAUACUUUCAUGCAUUGACGUUACUGACAGAAGAAGCACCGGCUAACUCCGUGCCAGCAGCCGCGGUAA